CAGUCGCCACGGUAAUACGAGGGGGGCAAGCGUUGUUCGGAUUUAUUGGGCGUAAAGGGUGCGUAGGCGGGUUGGCAAGUCUUGUGUGAAAUCUUCGGGCUCAACCCGAAGCCUGCACGAGAAACUACCGGGCUUGAGUAUUGGAGAGGUGAGUGGAAUUUCCGGUGUAGCGGUGAAAUGCGUAGAUAUCGGAAGGAACACCUGUGGCGAAAGCGGCUCACUGGACAAUAACUGACGCUGAUGCACGAAAGCUAGGGGAGCGAACAGGAUUAGAGACCCCUGUAGUCCCUGUCUCUUAUAC
Molecule: ribosomal RNA, 301 nt
Filed under: uncultured bacterium
Lineage: Bacteria
Description: partial 16S ribosomal RNA
Rfam family: Bacterial small subunit ribosomal RNA
Source: RNAcentral